CCUACGGGGAGCAGCAGUGGGGAAUAUUGGACAAUGGGCGAAAGCCUGAUCCAGCCAUGCCGCGUGUGUGAAGAAUGCCUUCGGGUUGUAAAGCACUUUCAGUGGGGAAGAAAGCCUUGGGGCUAAUACCCUCGAGGAAGGACAUCACCCACAGAAGAAGCACCGGCUAACUCCGUGCCAGCAGCCGCGGUAAUACGGAGGGUGCGAGCGUUAAUCGGAAUUACUGGGCGUAAAGCGCGCGUAGGCGGUCUGAUAAGCCGGUUGUGAAAGCCCCGGGCUCAACCUGGGAACGGCAUCCGGAACUGUCAGGCUAGAGUGCAGGAGAGGAAGGUAGAAUUCCCGGUGUAGCGGUGAAAUGCGUAGAGAUCGGGAGGAAUACCAGUGGCGAAGGCGGCCUUCUGGACUGACACUGACGCUGAGGUGCGAAAGCGUGGGUAGCAAACAGGAUUAGAUACCCGAGUAGUC
This 465-nucleotide ribosomal RNA is filed under the name Vreelandella stevensii. Its description in RNAcentral is "partial 16S ribosomal RNA". It matches the Rfam family "Bacterial small subunit ribosomal RNA", at positions 338 to 795 of the family's 1533-position model. Lineage: Bacteria; Pseudomonadati; Pseudomonadota; Gammaproteobacteria; Oceanospirillales; Halomonadaceae. The record is from RNAcentral.